UACGGGGGGGGCAAGCGUUGUUCGGAAUUACUGGGCGUAAAGGGCUCGUAGGCGGCCAACUAAGUCAGACGUGAAAUCCCUCGGCUUAACCGGGGAACUGCAUCUGAUACUGGAUGGCUUGAGUUCGGGAGAGGGAUGCGGAAUUCCAGGUGUAGCGGUGAAAUGCGUAGAUAUCUGGAGGAACACCGGUGGCGAAGGCGGCAUCCUGGACCGACACUGACGCUGAUGCGCGAAAGCCAGGGGAGCAAACGGG
This 253-nucleotide ribosomal RNA is filed under the name uncultured bacterium. Its description in RNAcentral is "partial 16S ribosomal RNA". It matches the Rfam family "Bacterial small subunit ribosomal RNA", at positions 524 to 776 of the family's 1533-position model. The record is from RNAcentral.